Molecule: unclassified non-coding RNA, 264 nt
Filed under: Hevea brasiliensis (rubber tree)
Lineage: Eukaryota; Viridiplantae; Streptophyta; Magnoliopsida; Malpighiales; Euphorbiaceae
Source: RNAcentral
GAGGUUGGGAAUGCCAGGUUGCUGAGAGGCGUGUUGCAGCAGAAGGAUAUGUAUUCUGGGGUGCUUCGUGGGUUGGGAAAUGAUGAUGAUGAUACCGUGGUUUAUGUGUUAUCCACUUUGCGUGAUAGGGUUCUUGUCCCGGAUUCACUGGUGCCCACUGGGCUUAGAAGUGUGCUCUUUGGGAGUGUAACUCUGGAGCAGCUUGCUAGCAUUUCGGGACGAGAUGGUGGUGGAUUGGCUGCAGAAUUAGCUCAUGAAGUGUUA